Oncorhynchus kisutch (coho salmon) is the source of this 492-nucleotide long non-coding RNA. RefSeq lists it as uncharacterized. NCBI's taxonomy places the organism in Eukaryota, Metazoa, Chordata, Actinopteri, Salmoniformes, Salmonidae. The record is from RefSeq and is a predicted model, not a curated record. The transcript is spliced from 3 exons.
CCGGAGUAGACGUUGCGCAUCCUGCUAUGAUGUCCAUCACCAAGCCAGAACACUCCGAGGCCAACCCUCGAAGCCAGACUGGCAGCCAGGCCAGUGACUGAGCCUGAGACCCCUGCUGCAAAGAACACACCAAACAAUGGUGGCUGGCUCAGCUGGUUCUCUGUAGGGGAAAAGAGGUUCAUCCGAAGGAGGCUCAUCUACCCGAGGACAAUGACAAAUCGAUUAUCUGGGAUCCAACCCUGCACAGAUGGGUUGACAAAAUUGAGCCCAAUGCUGAGAACAAGCCAGUGCCACCACCUCCCCCAAUGGGAAUGAAUGGACAUCUGGGGAACUCUGGCAGUCUCCCCAAAGGAGAGCAGGUGAAUGUUAAUUUAGACUACAUUAGGUUUAACUCCAAGACUGUACCAGCCAAUCAUUGCUCUUUGUGGUGAUCUCCUGCUAACAUUUUCCCCACUAACUGCAAGUCUAUGGGGCAAUUAUGGACCACCACAA